GUACGCUGGCGGCACGCCUAACACAUGCAAGUCGAACGAAGUAGCAAUACUUAGUGGCAGACGGGUGAGUAACAUGUAGGUAUCUGCCCUUUGGUCUGGAAUAACACGAGGAAACUUGUGCUAAUACCGGAUAAGUCUUUACGGAGAAAGCUUUAUGCACCAUUGGAUGAGCCUGCACUUGAUUAGUUUGUUGGUGGGGUAAUGGCCUACCAAGACUGUGAUCAAUAGCUGAUUUGAGAGGAUGAUCAGCCACAUUGGGACUGAGACACGGCCCAAACUCCUACGGGAGGCAGCAGUGGGGAAUCUUGCACAAUGGAGGAAACUCUGAUGCAGCGAUGCCGCGUGAGUGAAGAAGGCCUUUGGGUUGUAAAGCUCUUUCGUCGGGGAAGAAAAUGACUGUACCCGAAUAAGAAGGUCCGGCUAACU
Molecule: ribosomal RNA, 426 nt
Filed under: uncultured bacterium
Lineage: Bacteria
Description: bacterial SSU rRNA
Rfam family: Bacterial small subunit ribosomal RNA
Source: RNAcentral